Molecule: long non-coding RNA, 2082 nt
Filed under: Trifolium pratense (red clover)
Lineage: Eukaryota; Viridiplantae; Streptophyta; Magnoliopsida; Fabales; Fabaceae
Description: long non-coding RNA (TPRA_LNC002111)
Source: RNAcentral
AGGUAGCGUUAUUGUUUUAUAUUCAAUCUUUUGAAGAUUUGCUGGUAGAAUUAUUUCAUGGUGACUUAUACAACAAGGCACACGUGGUCUAUUGUUUCUGAAGGCAGCCGAACCCUAGUUCUAUUUUCUAAAGGAAUAAAAUAACUUUUAGAAAAUAUAACAUUUGUUUCAAAAAUAUAUCUCGUGAAGACUGCUACAGAAAAUAUAAAAGAUUUAUUUCAAAUAAAUCUUUGUGCUUCAAGAAGAUUAGAAGAUUUAAUUUUAAAAUAUAUUUACAACAAAUAUAUUUAUGGGAGGAAUAUUUGAUGCAAAGAAAGAUUUGGUAAAAAUAUAUAUUUUGCUUCUAGAAGAUUUCUUGGAGCUGAAGCAUUGAAAGCCCACGAGGCUCUGCUAUUUAAAGGGUGCUGCUAACCCUGUUUUAUACACCGAAACUUGAAGCUAAAAUAGAAUAUCAAAGAUGUAGUCUUUUAGGGUUUUGUGUCUUUGAGCCACUCUCUAGGAGAGUUGGUGUAAAGUGAACCACUCGGGUUGUGAGAUGGUCACUAUGUCCUCACUCAGAAACCUGUAGGUAAUGAGUUGAGUAUUGUACUUGGAAGAAGCUUUUAAGCAACUCCAAAUUGUGAACUUAGUCGUUGACUAGGUAUUUGUCAUGGAAGUUUGUCUUCUAGGUUGUUCAGAAUUGUUCCGUUGAUCCAAUCGCUGUCUGUGAUUGAAGAGGGAUUGAGGAGGGCCUCAUACCUAAGUGAGACUUAGGUAGAAAGUAUAGCACGGGUAGUGAUUAAGUGAAGAGUUGUAAAUGGGGGAAUUUAGCUCUGAAUUGAUACUAUUUAGUGGACUUUAUCCCUGGCUUUGUAUUCCCCCAGAGUAGCCUGUUGUGCUGAACUGGGUUAACAAUUCUGUGUGUUGUUUAUGCUUUUCAGUAUCUGUUUUUAACAUCGUGGACAACACUUGUCUACCGUGUACCAGAAUUUCAAUUUGUCUCACGGUACGAAUGUGAUACAAGUUACCUAACUAACUAACUUGUUUCUUAUUCAACAAGCUAUUUAACUAACGUUGAAAUAGAACACCUAAUAAACUUCAAAGGCUUUAUUAACAAGUCUACAAGUUGCAUUUAUGUCUUGCAAAGUUGAAGCUCAAGCGUCUCCUUAUUCACUUGAUCUAUUAGGAAAUGAAAUCUUGUUUCUCAAAAUCAGAAACAAACAUCAGAAACAUGUUUCUCAAAAUCAAGGCCUAAAUCAAGAUUAGAAGCAUAACAUGUUAUGUUUCAGUGAUCAGAAGCAAUAUUCAAAUUGCAAUGACUGGUUUAUGAAAGUUGCGCCUCACUAAAAUUGUCACAAAAGUUAAAGAUAACGACUAUUUGAUGACUCAAGAUUCUCUGCUAUCAACAAGUCUCUAGCAGCAUCAAUAUUUACAUCUAAAGUAGCCAACUUUGCUUUCAGCCUCUCCUUUUCCAACUCUAGAGUUACCACAUUAUGGUUUCAUCCUUGGAUACAAUGCAUAUCUAUAACCUGGAAAAAAAACAACAAAAUACAACAUUAAUUCCAAGUUCCAACACAAUAAUAUUAAUAAUUAUAUAUAUUCAUUACUCUAAAUUGUUAUUAAAAAAAAAUUAUACGUCACGAGGAAAUGACCAAUCUGCUGGAUCAGACUUUGCAUGUAUAGUCUUGAAAAUGAUUCUUGUUGCAUAGACUAGUAUAGAGUCACCCUAAUGUUUAUUCAAUGAAUUUUUUUUAACCAAAUAAACUCAAUUCAUAUCAUUAACUAAUAAAUGUUCUAGGGAAUAAUCUCAAAUUUAUGGAAAUUAGCUCAAGGAUAUGAGCAACCAAAUUCGUUUGUUUAUCGGUUCUACAAAGAUCGGAAUGAAGUUCUUAGUGAAGAAGUUCAGAAUGGACAUGAAAAUUAAACUUAGAAUGACAAAAGGUUCCAACAUAACAAAGUGAAAAACAUCAUAUUGGACUUGAGAUUGCAGAUCAUAUCAAGAUAUUGAAGUUAGUAAUGUAGUCUUGAAGACAACUUUUUCAUUCAAUAAAAUUAUAGAGAUUUUUCUCAAAUUUGAUGGAUUCUAAAUUAUUUACUCUUUCU